Molecule: long non-coding RNA, 1735 nt
Organism: Equus quagga
Lineage: Eukaryota; Metazoa; Chordata; Mammalia; Perissodactyla; Equidae
Exons: 4
Source: RefSeq, a predicted model, not a curated record
ACAAAUACAGAAACACAAAAGGGGUGGGAGUGGAGAGAGAAUUUAGAGAGAAGACGUGGUGAAUUAAAGGAUAACGGUGAUGGUGAAUCACAUUUGACCCCGAGGGAGCACAGUGUGUAAAGCACUGUCAGUGACGUGAGGUCAUUUGGCUUCUCCUGUCUGAACCCCAUGGUCGGUCACGUUGGUAACACUCUCGCAGGACACACUGGCUCCCUGGCCUGGUAGCCCUCCCCCUGGACCACCCCUGGCACUGGACCAUGUUACUAGUCUGCUCCAUCUGCUGCCCUUCCCUGUGGGAAGAUUAGACCUCACUGCCCUGUUCAACUCAGGCAGGCAAGCAAUUUGCUUUAGUCAAUGAAAUGUGAGCAGAAGUGACGUAGGUCACCUCCAGACAGAUCAAGAGUCAGCUUGUGCUUCCCAGUGCUCUCUGUUCCUCUGCCACAGAGAGGCCCAGACUGAACAGGUGGUGAGGAGUCAAGUGACAGACAGCCAACCCACAAAGGACAUGUAUUAAUGAGAAAUAAACCUUUGUUGGAGGAAGACACAGAGAUUCUGGGGUGGUUUACACCACAGCCUCAGCCGGCCUCUCCUCUGAGUCUGUCUCUAGGAUGGUGAGCUCAUGUGGAGAAGUGCCCUUGCUGAGACGCUUGGCCCAGUGGGCUCGUCUCAGCAAGGCCUUCAGCAGUGCGCAGCCACCCGCUCCUCCUUUCUGGCUGGAACCCUGGGCCAUUUUCCCCAGAGCAGCUGUUCAAGCCCACGCCACUCUCUUCAAGCCCCCUCCUCUCAUUCUGCCACCUCAUUCCCUGGAGACAGACUUGCUUUUUCUUUCUCAAGAACUCUGGAGCCACCAGGGCUGGAGAGUAGAUAGUGACAAGUGUUCAAAACAGAGUCAAAAAAGGCAGCUGCUGAUGGAGGGCAUGGGGUCCAUCUUGUCUGUUGAGUGCGUGCCAUUCAAAGCAUAAGCUCUGGGGCCACGAGAAGCUGUGCUACGGGAAAGGAAGAGUCAGCGUCUGCAUACCUGUGGAGAUGUACUUCAUUAUAGUUCGACUUCUGACUUCUGUAUAGACUACCUCAUGUUCACCACCAAAAGUCUAGCUGCCAUCCGUCACUUGGCUACCUGUGGAGGUAUCUUUCUUCCCUCCCAGACUGUGCAACUGUCGAGGAUCAGGACCGUCCUUUUGCAUCAGUGUAGCCCUCACUGUGCCUAGGACAGGGCUUCGGAAUGCAGCCUCCACCUCACCCAUGGGAACAGCUAAACAGGAAGUCCCUGGGCCGCCCAGCCAGAGAGAGGGCAUAGAGUUGCGACACAAGUAUCUCAUGGCAUCUGGCAUCUAGACCACUUCUCACAAUACGUCCACAAAUUCUUUGACGCUCCUCCCUUAGGUGGAGCCUAACUCCCCUCCCCUUGAACGUGAUUGGACUUACUGACUCACUUGCAACAAACAGAAUAUGGUGGAAGUGGUGUAUGGAACGUCUGAAACUGGACCAUUCAAGGCACUGCAGCCUCCUUCUUGCUCUCUCUCUCUUGGAUCAUUCACUCUGGGGACAGCAAAGUGCCAUGUCAUAAGGACACUCAAACAGCCCCUAUGGAGAGACCCAUGAGGCAAGGAACUGAGGCCUCUUGCCAAACGCCAUGUGAGUGAGUCUUCUUAGAAGUGGAUCCUCAGCCCCAGGCAGGUGUUCAGAUGACCUCAUGAGCGACCUGGAGCUAGAACCACCUAGCUAAGAUGUCACU